UUCUCUGUUAAAGAAGAUUUAACCCAGCAGCCCACUCCAACGGGCGAUCCGGCCCAACAACAACUUCAGCCACCUAAGCCCAAUAGAAAAGCCUCGACCCGGCCCACAUGCCUUUUCUCUUUCACACAGCACAAACCACAUCGUGCAAGAAAACCAAAGCUCAAUGCUCUACAGUUUCAGGAAGAGAUGGUGAAAUGGAAUAUCCAUCAGUUUCAACGGGCUCUUGCCAUUGAUUCGACAACUAUCAAGGCUCAAACCAACAUGUCUAAGCCUCUCUACCCCCAAUCCGUCACUUCUUCUUAAAAUCAGCUGAAAAGCUUCUCCAAGUACCGUUGCAGUUUGGCCUAUAAAAGGGGGCUUUAUUCACUCUUAUGGAAAAAAAAGGUUAACAAAAAGUGAUAGAGAAUUGGGGGAAUAUAUUGAGUUCUAUCGCUGUCAUUGUUUCGUUCUGACACCUAAAGUAGAAGUUGGUGGUGAAGAGCCUUUUUGUCUCGUCGUUGUCUCAGCUCGCUGCGCCAUAAAAGGUAACCUCUCUUCCUCCUUUUCUGUCCAACUUUAUUUUUUCUUUUCUCGUUUUGUUGAUAUUUGCGACUAUAUGGCUUUGUGAUGGCUAAAUACCUUUUAUAUACCCUUCCAUUGUAUGUUAAUAUAUGAACAUUUAGUGUAGUUGUUUGCUUAGUUGUUAUGACUGUUGAAAGAGUAUAGGCUAAGAGGAGCGUUUUGAUGGACGUUAUGGGAAGACGGAGAACAUCACAUGACGUUCGGCGUUUAUCUCCAUCCUCUGCUCGUAAGAUACUCCAAAUCUCCCCCCAUUCCUAUUUUCUCCUAAUGCUUCAGUUCUCUUUAAGCAAAGAGAUUAUUUUAAGCCCAUGUUUGUGGUUCACGACUCUCAUAUCUGUUCAUGCUAGGAUUUGUUGCUCUUUUUCCUUUAAUUUCCUUAGCAUACUGUUUUAGAAUUUAAUCCAAGCAUGGGGUAAGGGGAUGAUCAUAUAUGCGUCAUAAAAUGAAUAACUACCGCCUUACCAUGUUUGCUACUACUACUUCCCUUUUUCCUAACUUGUACAAAUUUUUUUCCUUUUCCUCCCGCCCCAUCGAUUUCUUAGAGUACUCCUAUCUAGCUAUUUGGUAGAAAUGUGAGAUGAGGGGAUGUUCAUGUGAGCGUUGUACAUCAAAAUAAGAUAUACUUUGGUGUUAGUCACUUUCACCUCUCUUUUCCUCAAUAAAUUUUGCGUAAGUUUCUUCCCACCUGAUAUUCCCUCAUGAAUAUCUCAUGUUGUUUUUGUUGCUGCCCUUUUACCAUCUAAAUUAGUUAUUUUGACUCAAAAUAAGUAUAUGGUAAAGGGAUGCAUCCAUUGGCACCACAGGAUAGAAGAAGAAUACCUCAUGGUGUUCAUUAUUCUAUUCCUCUCUUUUCCUCAAACACUUUGAGCAGGUUCCUCCCCUCACUCCCUUAUGUGAAAGUAUUUUCGUAGCCUAUGAGAUCAGAUUUCUUUUUGAGCUCGAGUGGCCGUUGGUUUUGAUCUACUCCGUACUUGAAUGCGCUCCUAAAAGAGGAUGUUCUUGCCAUUCCUUUUGAUCGGUUUAUGGCUAGUUAUUUCUUUCUAGAAUAUAUCCCUUUGUUCCUUUAUGAACUAAGUAUAUGAUGUGCUUUCCUGGUUAGGCUUGAAGUUUGAUCCAAGUUUUAAUCAAAGUCUCUAGGCAAGAAUUCCUAAAUGAGAUAGGCUUUACAGUUAAAGACUUGAACCUGUUUUUUUCUUCUAUCUUUUGCAUUUGCACUAGUAGCAUAACGUAAAGGGAGGCUCGUUUGAGUUUGAAGGAAAGAAGUGAACAUAUUGUAAUGUUUACUUUCACACUUUCUUUCUUGCUGAAACAUACAUAAUCCUUUCAAUUAAUACCAUCGGUGAAUUUUGGUUUUCCUUUUUCUAUGAAUAAAAUUGUAUUUUUAUUUCUUGAGAUCUUUGAAAUAAAAGUAACAAGCUAAGUGUGCACUAUCCGUGGAAUCUUGUCUUCUUUACCUUUGCUAGCUACAAAUAAUGAAUUAGAUGUUUCAAGUUUUUUGGUUAUUUUAACAUCAUUUUUAUUGGUCGACUAUGAGCUUAUAAGUAUCUUGUUUAACCGAGUCCUUUCUUCGUUGAAACUUGAAUAGCUAAUCCUUACCUUAUCUUUAUUACAUGAACUCCCUUAUGAGUCCCCCGGACUCCCAUUUCUCACAGUCGUUUGGGUUAAAUUCGACGUCCAUCGAGUCAAGACCCAUGCCAAGUCAAGAAACACAGGAUGAUAUACAAUUGUAUACUCUGAUAUACAGUGAAUAUACAUCGUAAGAUGCAGCUGCACGCUAUCCCACGGGCUAUGAUGAAAACGUGGAGCAAAAUACGUAGGUAUCCACACGUACACUGUAUAUGCAGGGGUAUACAGGAAAACGCAGGAAAGAAGCCGCUGAUAUACAGUGGAUAUAAUGGCAAAAAAAGGGCUAAAGUCCAUGGAAUUGUUCCAAAAUUGGACAGAUUUGUAAUGGGUCAAAAGGGGCCCAAUUUUCACUCCUCUCUAUUUAAUUAUCCAUUCUAAUUUAUUUAUUUGUAUUUGCUUGAACACUUAAAUUAAUCAAUCUAGAUAAAUUUCUCAGGGU
Long non-coding RNA from Capsicum annuum, 2626 nucleotides. RefSeq lists it as uncharacterized. NCBI's taxonomy places the organism in Eukaryota, Viridiplantae, Streptophyta, Magnoliopsida, Solanales, Solanaceae. The transcript has 2 exons. The record is from RefSeq and is a predicted model, not a curated record.